UGAUGAUUAUGAUGAUGAUGGUGAUGAUGAUGAUGAUUGUGGAGAUGAUUAUGAUAAUGGCCAUUAUCAUCAUCAUCAUCAUCAUCAUCAUCAUCA
Molecule: microRNA precursor, 96 nt
Filed under: Guillardia theta CCMP2712
Lineage: Eukaryota; Cryptophyceae; Pyrenomonadales; Geminigeraceae
Description: microRNA mir-598
Rfam family: mir-598 microRNA precursor family
Source: RNAcentral